This 670-nucleotide long non-coding RNA is filed under the name Vigna radiata. RNAcentral's name for it is "long non-coding RNA (VRAD_LNC004621)". The record is from RNAcentral. Lineage: Eukaryota; Viridiplantae; Streptophyta; Magnoliopsida; Fabales; Fabaceae.
UGAGAAAGACUUAGUGGUGUGGGUUUCUGACUUAAUGAGAUUGUAGGGCAUGUACUGUUGGGGUACAUGGUUUCACGAAAUCAAGAGAGAAUGAAGAGGAAAUAAAGAAAUGGAGAAUGCAUGGGGUUGUGGUUCUAGGUAUAGGAAAAGAUGGGAGAGAAUUAAUAUUAGUAGAGGUGGAGAUAAAAGAACAUAAAGGUAAAAAGGAUUUAUGUUUUGGUCUUUGGGUGAAGAAAAUAAAAGGGGAAGAAGAGGGGAGGAGUGAAGUAAGUGAUGAAAAAAAUGGAUGCGUGUGGAAUGCAAUACAUAGUUAAGUAAUUUUAGAGGAUGAGAGAAUGAGUUACUGGGUUUUGAUAGUUAAAGAGAAAGGUUAAUGAUUCUAGAAAGUAGAAGAGAGAAUAAAAAGAUUUAAUUAAUGGAAGAGGGUAAAAAAAAUAAAAAAAUGGGAUUCAAUUGAGAGAGAAGGUAAAAGAAAUUAGAAAUGGUUAUUUAUUGGAGUUAAGAAAAAAAAAAAGAGCAGCUCUUGGCAGGCUUCUAGUGGAAGGGGCACAUGGAAGAAUCGAACAUACAUCGAAAUGAGAGGAUCUAGAGACUGUAUAGGUAUGGGACUAUAUAGUUGAAGGAUAGCUUAAAGGAAUUGAUUUGGCUACUCAUAUCAACAAAAUGCAUU